GGUUUUUGGAAUUUAUCAAAAAUCUAACCUGCUCAAUGUUCAUAUAAAUAGCCGCGGUAUCAUGACCGUGCAAAGGUAGCAUAAUAAUUAGUCUUUUAAUUGAAGACUGGAAUGAAUGGUUUGACUAAAUAUUUUUGUCUUAUAUUUAUAUUUCUAAUUUUAUAUUUUAAUAAAAAAGUUAAAAUAUUCUUAAGGGACGAGAAGACCCUAUCAAGCUUUAUAAUAAUUUAUUUAUUUUCAAAUUAAAUAAAAUAUUAUUUUACUGGGGCAGUAAAUAAAAAAAUAUUAUUUAUAUAUUGUAGUACCAAACUUUUAACAAACAAGAAAUUUUUAAAAAGAAAUAAGUUACUGUAGGGAUAACAGCAUAAUUUUUUUUAAGAGUUCUUAUCAUCAAAAAAGUUUGUGACCUCGAUGUUGGAUUAAGAUCCCUAGUUUGCGCAGUAGUAAAAAAAGGAAGUCCGUUCGACUUUUAAAAUCUUCCA
RNAcentral lists this ribosomal RNA (482 nucleotides) under Brachistosternus alienus. RNAcentral describes it as "partial 16S ribosomal RNA". It matches the Rfam family "Archaeal large subunit ribosomal RNA", at positions 1957 to 2669 of the family's 2987-position model. The record is from RNAcentral. Lineage: Eukaryota; Metazoa; Arthropoda; Arachnida; Scorpiones; Bothriuridae.